AUUGAUCAAUCUAAUUGCGGUUCUGCUUAAGGUAGAAUAAUAGGGAAUUGUGUGAAAAUCACAAGCUGUCGCGCAACUGUAAGUAACGAAAAAGUUUUUAUCAAUUAAUCCACUGUUUUGAAAAGUUCAAAAUGGGAAGGAGGUAAAAAUGUUACAAGCCAGGAGACCUGCCGAAAUUAAAAUGAUGAU
Molecule: non-coding RNA, 189 nt
Filed under: Galbibacter orientalis
Lineage: Bacteria; Pseudomonadati; Bacteroidota; Flavobacteriia; Flavobacteriales; Flavobacteriaceae
Also listed under: 1 other name
Source: RNAcentral